This 406-nucleotide unclassified non-coding RNA is filed under the name fungal sp. Its description in RNAcentral is "partial internal transcribed spacer region". The stretch from base 1 to 46 matches the Rfam family "Eukaryotic small subunit ribosomal RNA", at positions 1786 to 1831 of the family's 1831-position model. The record is from RNAcentral. Lineage: Eukaryota; Fungi.
AAGUCGUAACAAGGUAACCGUAGGUGAACCUGCGGUUGGAUCAUUAAAAUUUUGCCUGAAGGGGGGUUUGACUUGUUUGUGUAAUUGUUACAAUGGGAGCACGGGAGCGUCCGAUGUGCAAUGGAGGAAAGGUAGGAAGCAUGUCGGACUCCACCUGCUUUUCGGAUCCGGAAGUGGUCUUUGCACACCACUCCCCAACGCAGGCGGAACCACCGCGGGGGUGAUGGGUUGGGAGGUCGUUCCAAUCGCAUUGGGGAGGGCCACUCGGGAGUCUUCCCUGAUCCCAAUCAAUUAUGCAUUCAAAUUUUGCCCCCACCUUUUUCAUUUUUUUCGGUUGCUCUGUCUGAAACUUUUUUUUCUGUACGCAAAGUACGAACAACUUUUGGCAACGGAUCUCUUGGUUCUC